Molecule: ribosomal RNA, 809 nt
Filed under: Stenotrophomonas maltophilia
Lineage: Bacteria; Pseudomonadati; Pseudomonadota; Gammaproteobacteria; Lysobacterales; Lysobacteraceae
Description: bacterial SSU rRNA
Rfam family: Bacterial small subunit ribosomal RNA
Source: RNAcentral
AAAAAAAGUCGGCGGUAAGCCUACACAUGCAGUCGACGGCAGCACAGAGGAGCUUGCUCCUUGGGUGGCGAGUGGCGGACGGGUGAGGAAUACAUCGGAAUCUACUUUUUCGUGGGGGAUAACGUAGGGAAACUUACGCUAAUACCGCAUACGACCUACGGGUGAAGCAGGGGACCUUCGGGCCUUGCGCGAUUGAAUGAGCCGAUGUCGGAUUAGCUAGUUGGCGGGGUAAAGGCCCACCAAGGCGACGAUCCGUAGCUGGUCUGAGAGGAUGAUCAGCCACACUGGAACUGAGACACGGUCCAGACUCCUACGGGAGGCAGCAGUGGGGAAUAUUGGACAAUGGGCGCAAGCCUGAUCCAGCCAUACCGCGUGGGUGAAGAAGGCCUUCGGGUUGUAAAGCCCUUUUGUUGGGAAAGAAAUCCAGCUGGCUAAUACCCGGUUGGGAUGACGGUACCCAAAGAAUAAGCACCGGCUAACUUCGUGCCAGCAGCCGCGGUAAUACGAAGGGUGCAAGCGUUACUCGGAAUUACUGGGCGUAAAGCGUGCGUAGGUGGUCGUUUAAGUCCGUUGUGAAAGCCCUGGCUCAACCUGGGAACUGCAGUGGAUACUGGGCGACUAGAAUGUGGUAGAGGGUAGCGGAAUUCCUGGUGUAGCAGUGAAAUGCGUAAGAUCAGAGGAACAUCCAUGGCGGAAGGCAGCUACCUGGACCACAUUGACACUGAGCACGGAAAGCGUGGGGGAGCAAACAGGAUUAGAUACCCUGGCUAGUCCACGCCCUUAAACGAAUGCGAACUUGAAGUUUGAUC